RNAcentral lists this ribosomal RNA (372 nucleotides) under uncultured organism. RNAcentral's name for it is "bacterial SSU rRNA". It matches the Rfam family "Bacterial small subunit ribosomal RNA", at positions 526 to 896 of the family's 1533-position model. The record is from RNAcentral.
CAGAGGGGGCAAGCGUUAUUCGGAAUUAUUGGGCGUAAAGGGCGCGUAGGCGGCUUUGCAAGUGGCGGGUGAAAUCCCUCGGCUUAACCGAGGAACUGCCUGCCAGACUGUGAGGCUUGAGACCGGGAGAGGUGAGUGGAAUUCCCAGUGUAGCGGUGAAAUGCGUAGAUAUUGGGAGGAACACCAGUGGCGAAGGCGGCUCACUGGACCGGAACUGACGCUGAGGCGCGAAAGCGUGGGGAGCAAACAGGAUUAGAUACCCUGGUAGUCCACGCCGUAAACGAUGAGUGCUUGGUGUAGCGGGUAUCGACCCCUGCUGUGCCGACGUCAACACAUUAAGCACUCCGCCUGGGGAGUACGGUCGCAAGACUG